AGCAGUAGCCGCGGGAAUACGUAGGUGGCAAGCGUUGUCCGGAUUUAUUGGGCGUAAAGCGAGCGCAGGCGGUUUCUUAAGUCUGAUGUGAAAGCCCCCGGCUCAACCGGGGAGGGUCAUUGGAAACUGGGAGACUUGAGUGCAGAAGAGGAGAGUGGAAUUACAUGUGUAGCGGUGAAAUGCGUAGAUAUAUGGAGGAACACCAGUGGCGAAGGCGGCUCUCUGGUCUGUAACUGACGCUGAGGCUCGAGAGCGUGGGGAGCGAACAGGAUUAGAUACCCCUGUAGUCCCUGUCUCUUAUAC
This 303-nucleotide ribosomal RNA is filed under the name uncultured bacterium. Its description in RNAcentral is "partial 16S ribosomal RNA". It matches the Rfam family "Bacterial small subunit ribosomal RNA", at positions 507 to 807 of the family's 1533-position model. The record is from RNAcentral.